GACGAACGCUGGCGGCGUGCCUAAUACAUGCAAGUAGAACGCUGAAGGAGGAGCUUGCUUCUCUGGAUGAGUUGCGAACGGGUGAGUAACGCGUAGGUAACCUGCCUGGUAGUGGGGGAUAACUAUUGGAAACGAUAGCUAAUACCGCAUAAUAGCUGUUGUUGCAUGAUAACUGUUUGAAAGGUGCAAUUGCACCGCUACCAGAUGGACCUGCGUUGUAUUAGCUAGUUGGUGGGGUAACGGCUCACCAAGGCGACGAUACAGAGCCGACCUGGGAGGGGGAUCGGCCACCCUGGGAAUGGGACCCGGCCCAGACUCCUUCGGGAGGCAGCCGUAGGGAAUCUUCGGCAAUGGACGGAAGUCUGACCGAGCAACGCCGCGUGAGUGAAGAAGGGUUUCGGAUCGUAAAGCUCUGUUGUAAGAGAAGAACGAGUGUGAGAGUGGAAAGUUCACACUGUGACGGUAUCUUACCAGAAAGGGACGGCUAACUACGUG
RNAcentral lists this ribosomal RNA (495 nucleotides) under uncultured bacterium. Its description in RNAcentral is "partial 16S ribosomal RNA". It matches the Rfam family "Bacterial small subunit ribosomal RNA", at positions 28 to 507 of the family's 1533-position model. The record is from RNAcentral.